GUGGCUCACGCCUGUAAUCCCAGCACUUUGGGAGGCCGAGGUGGGUGGAUCACGAGGUCAGGAGAUCAAGACCAUCCUGGCUAACACGGUGAAACCCCGUCUCUACUAAAAAUACAAAAAAAUUAGCUGGGCAUGGUGGCGGUGCCUGUAGUCCCAGCUACUCUGGAAGCUGAGGCAGGAGAAUGGCGUGAACCCGGGAGGCGGAGCUUGCAGUGAGCUGAGAUCACACCACUGCACUCCAGCCUGGGAGACAGAGCAAGACUGUCUCAAAAAAAAAAAAAAAAGAGAAUAUCCUUAACCUAACUAGGGAACUGGGAAUAAAAUUUAUACAACCCAGAGUCAGACAAUACCGAGUGUUUGUGAGGAUGUAAGGAAAAGAUGAGGCCUCAUCUUAAAAUUAGUGGUGGGAUUACAACUUUAAAAAUGCUGAUGGAAUUACAAAAUGAUUUAACCACUUUAGAGAGUAAUCUUGAAAUAUUAGUAAAUUUGAAGGUGUAAAUACACUUUCACCAAGCACUGACACUUUUAGAUGUAUGCCAUCAAGAUCUGAAAACAAGAAAUGAGUCAGGCAUGGUGAUUCAUACCCGUCAUCCCACCUGUAAUCCCACUCCAAGGCAGGAGGAUCAUCUGAGCCCAGGAGUCCAAGACCUGCCUUAGCAACAUAGUGAGAUCCCAUCUCUAUAAAACAUUUAAAAAUUAGCCAGGCAUGGUGGUGCAUACCUGUAGUCCCAGUUACUUGGGAGGCUCAGGCAGGAGUAUUACUUUAGCCCAGGAAUUAGAGGAAUUGGAGGCUGCGAUAAGCUAUGGCCAUGCCAUUGCACUCCAGCCUGGUCAAAAGAGAGAGACCCUGUUUUAAAAAAGAUAAUGAAGAAAACAAGAACUAUUCAUUGAAGCACUGUUUGUGGUAGUGAAAACCUCAAAACAACACAGUGGCGAUAAUGCAAAUGUCUACAGCUGAGUAAUGGGAUAAAUCAAAUGAGUUCCAUUUAAACAAAAACAUGAGUAAACUAGAUUACAUGUAUCAACAUGUGUAUAUAUUAAAGACAUUAUUUAGUGAAACAAAAAACUCGUUCUAGAAGAAUACAUACAGCAUGAAACCAUAUAUGUAAGGUUUGAAGCAUUCAAACUAAUAAUAUACAUUUUUAUGGGUACAUGCAUAUAUAGAAAAAGCACAAGUCCGAGCGUGGUGGUUCGUGCCUGUAAUCCCAGCACUUUGGGAGGCUGAGGCAGGUGGAUCACCUGGGGUGGGGAAUUCGAGACCAGGCUGGCUAACAUGGUGAACCUUCAUCUCUACUAAAAAUACAAAAUUAGCUAGGUGUGGUGGCGGGUACCUGUAAUUCCAGUCACUAGAAAGGCUGAGGCAGGAGAGUCUGUUGAACCCGGGAGGCAUAGGUUGCAGUGAAACCAGAUAGCGCCACUGCACUCCAGCCUGGGUGACAGAGUAAGACUGUCUAAAAAAAGCAAAAGUAUAUAAACAUGAAUUGGAAAGACACACACUUUAAGGUAGGUGUUAUCCUUGGGGACAGAGACAGGAGAAUCAUCAGUGAGACAUACAAAGGGGAUUUUUCCUUAAAAAGGGAAGGACAUAUUCUUCCUUCAAGAAAAACCCAAAAGUAAACAAAGCGAAAUGCGAACAUUUGUUAAAUUUCAGUGGUGGGUACAUGGCUGUCCAUUCUAUUAGUCUGUGUUUUUUCAGCAUGUUUGAAAUUUUUUAAAAGAAAUGUAUGUGGGGAUUCUGAAGUCAAACCCAAAUUCAAACCCCUUCUCUACUGCUUCUAGUACUCAAAUACCAUUCUACUGCUAAAGAAGAUACGCAUUGGCAACCACAUACAUGUGAGCGAGCGGGAAAAGUCCUAUUUCUUUCUUUCUUUCUUUUUUUUUUUAGAAAGAGUAUUGCUCUGUCGCCCAGGCUGGAGUGCAUGAGCUGAGAUCCCGCCAUCACACUCCAGCCUGGGCAACAAUAGCGAAACUCCAUCUCAAAAAAAAAAAAAAAAAAAA
This is a long non-coding RNA of Macaca fascicularis (crab-eating macaque), 1998 nucleotides long. The record is from Ensembl. Lineage: Eukaryota; Metazoa; Chordata; Mammalia; Primates; Cercopithecidae.